GACAACAGACCGAGGUCAGAACCAUCAACACCAACUGAGUUAAAUCACUCGAGGAUCCGGACUAACAAUGACACUCCAGUCCACAGUAAAGCAUUGAGAAGCAUGCUUAAAACUGUGCUAGAUCAACAAGCGGAGAUCUUGGAGAGGCUGAAAAGAGUUGAAAAGAGAGAAGAUGAAAGAGAAAGUAAAAAAGAUGAGCAGAUCUAUGUACCCCCUAGUGUUCAGGCAUUGUGAAAGUGAAAAUGAGGCAAUGUCCAACCACAUCAUGACAUUUGUAAAAGGUUGGAACACAAAUGUCCAAGAAAAGGUCAUUC
This is a long non-coding RNA of Magallana angulata, 314 nucleotides long. RefSeq lists it as uncharacterized. Lineage: Eukaryota; Metazoa; Mollusca; Bivalvia; Ostreida; Ostreidae. The transcript has 3 exons. The record is from RefSeq and is a predicted model, not a curated record.